GAUGAACGCUGGCGGCGUGCCUAAUACAUGCAAGUCGAGCGAACAGAUGAGGAGCUUGCUCCUCUGACGUUAGCGGCGGACGGGUGAGUAACACGUGGAUAACCUACCUAUAAGACUGGGAUAACUUCGGGAAACCGGAGCUAAUACCGGAUAAUAUAUUGAACCGCAUGGUUCAAUAGUGAAAGACGGUUUUGCUGUCACUUAUAGAUGGAUCCGCGCCGCAUUAGCUAGUUGGUAAGGUAACGGCUUACCAAGGCAACGAUGCGUAGCCGACCUGAGAGGGUGAUCGGCCACACUGGAACUGAGACACGGUCCAGACUCCUAAGGGAGGCAGCAGUAGGGAAUCUUACGCAAUGGGCGAAAGCCUGACGGAGCAACGCCGCGUGAGUGAUGAAGGUCUUCGGAUCGUAAAACUCUGUUAUUAGGGAAGAACAAAUGUGUAAGUAACUAUGCACGUCUUGACGGUACCUAAUCAGAAAGCCACGGCUAACUACGUG
RNAcentral lists this ribosomal RNA (497 nucleotides) under uncultured bacterium. Its description in RNAcentral is "partial 16S ribosomal RNA". It matches the Rfam family "Bacterial small subunit ribosomal RNA", at positions 28 to 507 of the family's 1533-position model. The record is from RNAcentral.